GAUGAACGCUGGCGGCGUGCCUAAUACAUGCAAGUCGAGCGAACGGACGCGGAGCUUGCGUCUCUGAUGUUAGCGGCGGACGGGUGAGUAACACGUGUAUAACCUACCUAUAAGACUGGUAUAACUUCGGGAAACCGGAGCUAAUACCGGAUGAUAUUUUGAACCGCAGGGUUCAAUAGUGAAAGUCGGUCUUGCUGGCACUACUAGCUGGAUCCGCGCUGCAUUAGCUAGUUGGUAGGGUAACGGCUUACCAAGGCGACGAUGCAUAGGCGACGUGAGAGAGUGAUCGGCCACACGGGAGCUGAGACACGGUCCAGACUCCUACGGGAGGCAGCAGUCGGGAAUCUUCCGCAACGGGCGGGAGCCUGACGGAGCAACGCCGCGUGAGUGAUGAAGGUCUUCGGAUCGUAAAACUCUGUUAUUAGGGAAGAACAGAUGUGUAAGUAACUGUGCACAUCUUGACGGUACCUAAUCAGAAAGCCACGGCUAACUACGUG
RNAcentral lists this ribosomal RNA (497 nucleotides) under uncultured bacterium. RNAcentral describes it as "partial 16S ribosomal RNA". It matches the Rfam family "Bacterial small subunit ribosomal RNA", at positions 28 to 507 of the family's 1533-position model. The record is from RNAcentral.